Molecule: ribosomal RNA, 671 nt
Filed under: Escherichia coli
Lineage: Bacteria; Pseudomonadati; Pseudomonadota; Gammaproteobacteria; Enterobacterales; Enterobacteriaceae
Description: partial 23S ribosomal RNA
Rfam family: Bacterial large subunit ribosomal RNA
Source: RNAcentral
CUUGAUGUGUAGGAUAGGUGGGAGGCUUUGAAGUGUGGACGCCAGUCUGCAUGGAGCCGGCCUUGAAAUACCACCCUUUAAUGUUUGAUGUUCUAACGUUGGCCCCUGAUCGGGGUUGCGGACAGUGUCUGGUGGGUAGUUUGACUGGGGCGGUCUCCUCCUAAAGAGUAACGGAGGAGCACGAAGGUUGGCUAAUCCUGGUCGGACAUCAGGAGGUUAGUGCAAUGGCAUAAGCCAGCUUGACUGCGAGCGUGACGGCGCGAGCAGGUGCGAAAGCAGGUCAUAGUGAUCCGGUGGUUCUGAAUGGAAGGGCCAUCGCUCAACGGAUAAAAGGUACUCCGGGGAUAACAGGCUGAUACCGCCCAAGAGUUCAUAUCGACGGCGGUGUUUGGCACCUCGAUGUCGGCUCAUCACAUCCUGGGGCUGAAGUAGGUCCCAAGGGUAUGGCUGUUCGCCAUUUAAAGUGGUACGCGAGCUGGGUUUAGAACGUCGUGAGACAGUUCGGUCCCUAUCUGCCGUGGGCGCUGGAGAACUGAGGGGGGCUGCUCCUAGUACGAGAGGACCGGAGUGGACGCAUCACUGGUGUUCGGGUUGUCAUGCCAAUGGCACUGCCCGGUAGCUAAAUGCGGAAGAGAUAAGUGCUGAAAGCAUCUAAGCACGAAACUUGCCCC